GGGAAUUGAAAAUUCUGUGGACAGUUCUAGUGGGUCAGGAAGACUUGCGAACCCUCGUUCCCCUGCUCUCGGCGGCGUCUUGUGCGGCAACGGCAGAGGAGCGGCUAGAGUUCCUGUUGGAUCCCGUCGACCGGUUUCCCUUGAGCGACUAAUCAGCUGCUACGGUGGCUGAUUUGAAUGUCGGGUCCGGGUGCGGGCAAGCUGAGGGUGCCGGGAGCCCGGCGAGGGUUGGAGGAGAGGGGCGAUGAAGAAAUAAUGUAUCUACAAUCAGGUCGGCACAGUCGACUAACAGGAAGAAUCCUGAAGCACGCGGCUGACUAAAAGUGGAUGCAGACAUAUGUGCGUGGUUGUGGGUGAUGGUGGUAUAUGCACUGAAAAAUAGAAAAUCUGAAGCGACUCCUUACAUAAUUCGAGGUUGAGGCUCAGUAUUGCACCACCUGACAGGGCACCCUGCGCAUCGAGGAUUGAGUUUUGAUUCACUUGCUGAAUGUGUGUGUUGCAGGGGAAGCCGGAAGCGGAGAAUAGCAGUUCGUGCGGUACAUACAGAAGAAUGCGAAGGAGAGCCUGAGCCCUCUGUACACGAAGUGAAAGUGCAAACCACAUGUUGAAGGGUUAUAUGCCACCUGCUAUCCCGAUGCACUUUUUUGUGAGGCAGUAUAUGAGGCUCCAGAUUGAACGUGAGAGGGAGGAAAGCUACGAAGAGUAGAGGACUAAUUGUCAGAAAAACUGAUGUGUCUGUUCGUUGUUCACCGUUGCUGAUUAAUUUUCAAUUUUUCAUUGUCAGUAAAACUGAUGUGUGUUGGUGGUGGCAGGGAGGUGUCGUGAGGAGAACAAAUCUAGCAAUAGAGCAGCAUGCAAGCAAAGUGUGCACUCAUGCUAUGUUUUGGAGCCCCGUCCAAAGGUAGCCCUAGUUUGGAGGCCCAGGAAGGUAGUGUCGGGGCGUCCGUCAGCAUGAAUGCGCUUCAAGGACUAGCACCACUGGAGUAGCAGAGGGGUGUAGGGAGGCCGUCGAAGAGCCGGGGAGAAAUCACCACACGAGGCUCUGAGCAAGUGUACCAAGUUUUGCAGCAUCUGCCCCCGUGAAGGCCACAAUCGGACUUACAUGUCCUGAUCGUGGAGAUGCACCUAAACAGCCCCGCAAGCCCGGAAAGUGCAAGAACUAUUGAAUGGAAGGGCGACGCAGGAACACGUGCACACGCCCACUGGUUGGUGCACAGAUGUAGUCCAGAAGAUUUAAAAUUUCGUGUGUAAUGUGCGAUUCAAGGAUUUUCUGGUGUGUGCUGUGAGCCAUGCUCCAGGCUUGUUCCUCCGGUGCUUAUUAAUUUUAGUGUUGUUGUAUUGCAUAGUGCUGUACUGUAAGUCAGCAACUCAGCACAACUUCAGAAUUAUGAUAGAAAAAUGUUGGGCGUCCUAUCUACAUUUUCGAGGCUGUUGCAUUGUUGG
Long non-coding RNA from Triticum aestivum (bread wheat), 1443 nucleotides. RefSeq lists it as uncharacterized. The transcript is spliced from 4 exons. The record is from RefSeq and is a predicted model, not a curated record. NCBI's taxonomy places the organism in Eukaryota, Viridiplantae, Streptophyta, Magnoliopsida, Poales, Poaceae.